This 527-nucleotide ribosomal RNA is filed under the name uncultured bacterium. RNAcentral describes it as "bacterial SSU rRNA". It matches the Rfam family "Bacterial small subunit ribosomal RNA", at positions 336 to 865 of the family's 1533-position model. The record is from RNAcentral.
CUCCUACGGGAGGCUGCAGUGAGGAAUAUUGGACAAUGGGCGCAAGCCUGAUCCAGCCAUGCCGCGUGCAGGAAGACGCAUCUAUGGUGUGUAAACUGCUUUUGUACGGGAAGAAACACUCCUUCGUGAAGGAGCUUGACGGUACCGUAAGAAUAAGGAUCGGCUAACUCCGUGCCAGCAGCCGCGGUAAUACGGAGGAUCCAAGCGUUAUCCGGAAUCAUUGGGUUUAAAGGGUCCGUAGGCGGUUUAGUAAGUCAGUGGUGAAAGCCCAUCGCUCAACGAUGGAACGGCCAUUGAUACUGCUAGACUUGAAUUACUAGGAAGUAACUAGAAUAUGUAGUGUAGCGGUGAAAUGCUUAGAUAUUACAUGGAAUACCAAUUGCGAAGGCAGGUUACUACUAGUGGAUUGACGCUGAUGGACGAAAGCGUGGGGAGCGAACAGGAUUAGAUACCCUGGUAGUCCACGCCGUAAACGAUGGAUACUAGCUGUUCGGAGCAAUCUGAGUGGCUAAGCGAAAGUGAUAAGU